UACGGAGGGGACUAGCGUUGUUCGGAAUUACUGGGCGUAAAGCGCACGUAGGCGGAUUUGUAAGUCAGGGGUGAAAUCCCGGGGCUCAACCUCGGAACUGCCUUUGAUACUGCAAAUCUCGAGUCCGGAAGAGGUGAGUGGAAUUCCUAGUGUAGAGGUGAGAUUCGUAGAUAUUCGGAAGAACACCAGUGGCGAAGGCGGCUCACUGGCCCGUUACCGACGCUCAGGCGCGACAGCGUGGGGAGCAAACAGG
RNAcentral lists this ribosomal RNA (253 nucleotides) under uncultured bacterium. RNAcentral's name for it is "partial 16S ribosomal RNA". It matches the Rfam family "Bacterial small subunit ribosomal RNA", at positions 524 to 776 of the family's 1533-position model. The record is from RNAcentral.